GGCUAACUUUCUGUACAGCACUCAGGGAGAUGUAUAGUCCUCUUAUGAGGCUAGUAAUGUUUGAGAUAGAUGUAUAUUAAUACAUAUAGACCCUAUACAAACAUAACACCAACUACGUUGGAUAAAAUUCUAGAUAGAAGACUGAUUGUGACAAUUUUCUAUCUACUUGUCUUGACCAAAUUACGUGCCAGCAGUCGCGGUAAUACGUAAAAGACUAGUGUUAUCCAUCUUUAAUAGGUUUAAAGGGUACCUAGACGGCAUUAUUAACCUUAAAUACGGAUAUAAUUUUUGCUAGAGUUUGAUAAGAGAAGGGGAGUAUUUACGGAGUAGAGAUGAAAUUCUUUGAUACCUUAAGGACUGGCAAUGGCGAAAGCGACCUUUUAUGUAAAAACUGACGUUGAGGGACGGAGGCUUGGAUAGCGAACAGGAUUAGAUACCCUAGUAGUCUUUGCAGAGAAUGAUGAAUGCCAUAGAUUAGAUAUUUUUAGUUUAUAAAUGAAAGUGUAAGCAUUCCACCUCAAGAGUAAUGUGGCAACGCAGGAACUGAAAUCAUUAGACCGUUUCUGAGAACAGUAGUGAAGUAUGUUAUUUAAUUCGUUAAUCCGCAACAC
Molecule: ribosomal RNA, 611 nt
Filed under: Hypohelion durum
Lineage: Eukaryota; Fungi; Ascomycota; Leotiomycetes; Rhytismatales; Rhytismataceae
Description: SSU rRNA
Rfam family: Bacterial small subunit ribosomal RNA
Source: RNAcentral